UGAGGGAGUUCCGGAGUGGUCAAACGGGCAGCCCUUAAGAGGCUGUAGCUUAGUGCUUACGCAGGUUCGAAUCCUGUCUCCCUCAU
This 86-nucleotide transfer RNA is filed under the name subsurface metagenome. Its description in RNAcentral is "tRNA-Leu". It matches the Rfam family "tRNA". From Rfam's summary of the family: Transfer RNA (tRNA) molecules are approximately 80 nucleotides in length. Their secondary structure includes four short double-helical elements and three loops (D, anti-codon, and T loops). Further hydrogen bonds mediate the characteristic L-shaped molecular structure. tRNAs have two regions of fundamental functional importance: the anti-codon, which is responsible for specific mRNA codon recognition, and the 3' end, to which the tRNAs corresponding amino acid is attached (by aminoacyl-tRNA synthetases). tRNAs cope with the degeneracy of the genetic code in two manners: having more than one tRNA (with a specific anti-codon) for a particular amino acid; and 'wobble' base-pairing, i.e. permitting non-standard base-pairing at the 3rd anti-codon position. The record is from RNAcentral.